GUGGCUAGGCCAGGGGCUGCAACACAGGACAUGGGAGCUACCUGUCCUUCCUGCUCGUGUCUUGUGUUGCAGCCAGUGGAACAGU
This 85-nucleotide microRNA precursor is filed under the name Salmo salar (Atlantic salmon). RNAcentral's name for it is "mir-187 microRNA precursor family". It matches the Rfam family "mir-187 microRNA precursor family". Lineage: Eukaryota; Metazoa; Chordata; Actinopteri; Salmoniformes; Salmonidae. The record is from Rfam by way of RNAcentral.